This 433-nucleotide ribosomal RNA is filed under the name uncultured bacterium. Its description in RNAcentral is "partial 16S ribosomal RNA". It matches the Rfam family "Bacterial small subunit ribosomal RNA", at positions 29 to 507 of the family's 1533-position model. The record is from RNAcentral.
AACGAACGCUGGCGGCAUGCCUAACACAUGCAAGUCGAACGAGACCUCCGGGUCUAGUGGCUCACGGGUGCGUAACGCGUGGGAACCUGCCCUUAGGUUCGGAAUUACUCUUCGAAAGGGGUGCUAAUACCGGAUAAUGUCUUCGGAUCAAAGAUUUAUCGCCUUUGGAUGGGCCCGCGUUGGUUUAGCUUGUUGGUAGGGUAAAAGCCUACCACGGCGACGAUCCAUAGCUGGUCGGAGAGGAUGAUCAGCCACACUGGGACUGAGACACGGCCCAGACUCCUGGGGGAGGCAGGAGAGGGGGAUAUUGGACAAUGGGCGAGAGCCUGAUCCAGCAAGGCCGCGUGAGUGAUGAAGGCCUUAGGGUUGUAAAGCUCUUUUACCCGGGAUGAUAAUGACGGUACCGAGAGAAUAAGCACCGGCUAACUCCGUG